AUAUUUUCUAUGUCUUUUUUCCUUUUAGUAUUCUAAAAAUUCUUAUUUUAAAUUUUAUACAAGUGUCGGUCUGUGGCAGAUUAGAAAGCAAAUCCUGGUCUUUGCCCACAAGCAGUUGGAGAAACUUUGGUCUGUACAGGACAUCCUCUGUCUUUGCAAGAAGGUGUUGCUUACCCACAGGAAGCCAUGAAAAAUCAGGGAGCCUGGAAAAACCCAGCCCUUGGGCAGCCCGGGAGGUGGGAAGGUUGUUCUCAAUAGUGCUUCUGGCCUGGGGGCUUGAGGUGGCCUGGUUUGGACUGGACAUCGAGGCACUGUACAAGGAGCCUGGCUGAGGUCGGUCAUGUCACAUCAAGGGGGUGUCACAUCAAGGGGGUGUGUUGUUGACCUGAAUCCACCAUGCAAAGCAGGGCAGAUGGUUGGUUGUUGACCAGCCCAGGGCUGCUUGAACCCGAAGGGCAGGGCCUGGCUGUGUACGUGGGAGGCUUGGGUCUCCUUCCCCAGCUGCUGUUGGCCCCCUUCCAGGCCUUCCCUGCACACAUGGAGGAGGCUGCAGGAGGCUCUGUAGAAUCCGUGCUGCUCUGUGCUUCAGCUGUUUGUUCCAGUCUCCUUCACAGACAGCAGCUCCCCAAGAUUUUACUGGGUCAGCAGCUGCAGCUGAAAUGAGCCAAGGAUGCUUGCUCGGGGUGGCAGAGAAACACCGCCGGCUGGGAGUGCCAUCUCUUUACCGUUGAGGGCCACUUUCUCAGAGCGCGCUGAGUUCACACAGAACCUACUCUGCCACAGCCUGUUUUAUUUUUUAAAAGUCAGUGGAUGACAAAACAAUUUUAGAUGGCUUUCCUUUGCUCUCCCUAAAACUGAGCACCUUCCACAGCUCUUACCCUGGACACGUGUCCUUUGGUGCAUCUACAGAAUCCCUCAAAAUUUAAUUAUUUUUAACUAAAAAUACCCAGUGUAACCGGAUACACUUUAAAAUAGUGAGUUCAUUUGAAAUACCUUCUCAAGCAACAGGGUUCGUUCCAGGGACUGUGGAAAUAAUGGUAGUUGUGGCAAAAUGGAAAUGUAACUGGUCGCUCAUACACUCCUAAGAUCUCGUGCUUAGAAGUGUGAUCAUGUGUGCUUGGGGAAAGUGACUGUGUUUUUCACACAAUAUAGUCCUACCCUGGAAAUUGUGACUGAACUGGAAAACACCCCAGGUUGUGGAUUCACCUGUGCAGAGGAGUAACUAGAAGUCAGAUUUAGGGAAGACAUGCAGCAAAGAAACCUAGAGAAAGCAGAGGGAAGAGAAAAAAUAUGUUGUAAUGGCUAAAUAAGCCCAAACUUAUCAGUUGUGACAACAUAAAAAAUGAAAUAAAAAUCAGGCUGAAACAAAA
This is a long non-coding RNA of Sapajus apella (tufted capuchin), 1370 nucleotides long. RefSeq lists it as uncharacterized. The record is from RefSeq and is a predicted model, not a curated record. NCBI's taxonomy places the organism in Eukaryota, Metazoa, Chordata, Mammalia, Primates, Cebidae. The transcript is spliced from 2 exons.